AAACCAACAGGGAUUGCCCCAGUAACGGCGAGUGAAGCGGCAACAGCUCAAAUUUGAAAUCUGGCUCUCGGGCCCGAGUUGUAAUUUGUAGAGGAUGCUUUUGGUGAGGUGCCUUCCGAGUUCCCUGGAACGGGACGCCAUAGAGGGUGAGAGCCCCGUCUGGUUGGACGCCGAACCUCUGUAAAGCUCCUUCGACGAGUCGAGUAGUUUGGGAAUGCUGCUCUAAAUGGGAGGUAUAUGUCUUCUAAAGCUAAAUACCGGCCAGAGACCGAUAGCGCACAAGUAGAGUGAUCGAAAGAUGAAAAGAACUUUGAAAAGAGAGUUAAACAGUACGUGAAAUUGUUGAAAGGGAAGCGCUUGUGACCAGACUUGGGCUUGGUUGAUCAUCCGGGGUUCUCCCCGGUGCACUCUUCCGGCUCAGGCCAGCAUCAGUUCGCCCUGGGGGACAAAGGCUUCGGGAACGUGGCUCUCUCCGGGGAGUGUUAUAGCCCGUUGCGUAAUACCCUGUGGCGGACUGAGGUUCGCGCAUUCGCAAGGAUGCUGGCGUAAUGGUCAUCAGUGAC
This 563-nucleotide ribosomal RNA is filed under the name fungal sp. SQ7. RNAcentral's name for it is "eukaryotic LSU rRNA". It matches the Rfam family "Eukaryotic large subunit ribosomal RNA", at positions 62 to 648 of the family's 3401-position model. Lineage: Eukaryota; Fungi. The record is from RNAcentral.